RNAcentral lists this ribosomal RNA (305 nucleotides) under uncultured bacterium. Its description in RNAcentral is "bacterial SSU rRNA". It matches the Rfam family "Bacterial small subunit ribosomal RNA", at positions 334 to 637 of the family's 1533-position model. The record is from RNAcentral.
UCUUCCUACGGGGGGCAGCAGUGAGGAAUAUUGGUCAAUGGGCGAGAGCCUGAACCAGCCAAGUCGCGUGAGGGAAGACGGUCCUAUGGAUUGUAAACCUCUUUUGCCGGGGAGCAAAAAGCGGUACGUGUACCGCAUCGAGAGUACCCGGAGAAAAAGCAUCGGCUAACUCCGUGCCAGCAGCCGCGGUAAUACGGAGGAUGCGAGCGUUAUCCGGAUUUAUUGGGUUUAAAGGGUGCGCAGGCGGAAGAUCAAGUCAGCGGUAAAAUUGAGAGGCUCAACCUCUUCGAGCCUUUGAAACUGGU